Molecule: ribosomal RNA, 455 nt
Filed under: uncultured bacterium
Lineage: Bacteria
Description: bacterial SSU rRNA
Rfam family: Bacterial small subunit ribosomal RNA
Source: RNAcentral
AGCGAACGCUGGCGGCAGGCUUAACACAUGCAAGUCGAACGGGCGUAGCAAUACGUCAGUGGCAGACGGGUGAGUAACGCGUGGGAACGUACCUUUUGGUUCGGAACAACCCAGGGAAACUUGGGCUAAUACCGGAUAAGCCCUUACGGGGAAAGAUUUAUCGCCGAAAGAUCGGCCCGCGUCUGAUUAGCUAGUUGGUGUGGUAACGGCGCACCAAGGCGACGAUCAGUAGCUGGUCUGAGAGGAUGAUCAGCCACAUUGGGACUGAGACACGGCCCAAACUCCUACGGGAGGCAGCAGUGGGGAAUAUUGGACAAUGGGCGCAAGCCUGAUCCAGCCAUGCCGCGUGAGUGAUGAAGGCCCUAGGGUUGUAAAGCUCUUUUGUGCGGGAAGAUAAUGACGGUAACGCAAGAAUAAGCCCCGGCUAACUUCGUGCCAGCAGCCGCCGCCGUAAU